This 731-nucleotide long non-coding RNA is filed under the name Homo sapiens (human). RNAcentral's name for it is "HSALNT0222491". Lineage: Eukaryota; Metazoa; Chordata; Mammalia; Primates; Hominidae. The record is from RNAcentral.
AAUCGUAUCCCCAAAUAGAGGGAUGGGAACACAUUUGCUUUCGCAGUAAAACGAAACGGACAGAUUGUGAAGAAGCGGACAAACCUCGCGUUAAUAUUCGAACCAGCCUAGUGCUCGGCGCUUCUGAGAGAGCGAUCAUUUCCCUCUAUUGAGAAUUUUAACCAAGUUUCUGUUGUCUGUAGUUAUUUGAUAUUGGCUGUGGACCCACAAAGUCACACAAGGCUAAAGGAUGCCAGGGACACAGCCCACCACAGGCCAUGCCCAAAGGCCAGAGUCAGAGCACAAUUUUGAAGAUUACAGAAAACUCCAAAGAGAUUGAAGAGAUGGAAUAAAGGAUCCCAGCCCCCGAAAAGAGAAAGCUUUGUGUCUGUAGCCAUAGCCCUUGGCAAUCAGACAUCCUCCUCACUAAUGUGAGGUCAGGAGGGGACUAGAAGUGCUCAGAGGAUGGACUGCCUCUGGCCAGUGCAGGGGAGAGGCAGGGGUGUUGAGGCACAGGAGCCAGAUGAGAGGAACGUCAGCAGCAAAGCAGGUGGACAGCACGGAAGAGGCAGUACAUCUUAACAAAAUCAGGGUUCUGGAUGAAGGGAGGGGUGGUGAAUGGUUGCUGCAAUCAACAGUUCAUACUUCAAUGGAAAGAAGGUGGGAUUUGAUUCCUGGCUGCAAAUCUUCACUCUGUCACCUGCUAUCUGUGUGCCCUCAGGCUCCCAUCAAGGAGUGAUGUCUGUUUCUCC